AGGGUUAGUCGGUACCUAAGGCGAGGCCGAAAGGCGUAGUCGAUGGAUAGCACGUUAAUAUUCGUGCACCACUUCUGGUGAGUUUGAUGGACAGGGGUGACGGAGGCUGGAAGGUCAUCGGGGCGUUGAUUGUCCCCGUCGCUGGCCCGAGGUGCGCGGUAGGUAAAUCCGCCGCGAUAAUCCGGAGGUCGGCGCAGGACCAUUUGAGUCUGAAGUGAUCGGAAGGUCUUCCAAGAAAAACCUCGGUUCUAUUGCCAGGAGUGACCGUACUAAAACUGACACAGGUAGGCGAGGUGAGUAUCCUAAGGCGCUCGAGAGAACCUUCGUUAAGGAACUAGGCAAAAUGACUCCGUAACUUCGGGAGAAGGAGUGCCACGGUAGAGUGAUCCAGUUUCCUGGAGAGCUCGAAGUGGUCGCAGCGAAAAGGGUCUAGCGACUGUUUACUAAAAACACAGGACUGUGCUAAGACGCAAGUCGAUGUAUACAGUCUGACGCCUGCUCGGUGCCGGAAGGUUAAGGGGACGGGUUAUCCCUUCGGGGAGAAGCUCAGAACUGAAGCCCCGGUUAACGGCGGCCGUAACUAUGACGGUCCUAAGGUAGCGAAGUUCCUUGUCGGGUAAGUUCCGACCCGCACGAAUGGCGUAACGACUGGACCGGUGUCUCAACGAAGGACUCGGCGAAAUUGUAGUUGUGGUGCAGAUGCCACAUACCCGCGGCUAGACGGAAAGACCCCGUGAACCUUUACUAUAGCCUAUUAUUGGGUUUGGGUAAUGCAUGUGUAGGAUAGGUGGGAGGCGUUGAAGCGAGAUCGCCAGAUCUUGUGGAGCCAUCCUUGAAAUACCACCCUUGUAUUAUUUAAAUUCUAACCAGGUUCCGUGAAUCCGGGCUUGGAACAGUGGUAGGUGGGUAGUUUGGCUGGGGCGGUCUCCUCCCAAAGAGUAACGGAGGAGCCCAAAGGCUUCCUCAAUGCGGUUGGCAAUCGCAUGUAGAGCGCAAGGGUAAAAGGAAGCUUAACUGCGAGACCCAUAAGUCGAGCAGAUGUGAAAGCAGGGCCUAAUGAUCCGGCGUAUUCCGGGUGGAAGGGACGUCGCUCAUCAGAUAAAAGGUACUCCGGGGAUAACAGGCUGAUCUCCCCCAAGAGU
This 1142-nucleotide ribosomal RNA is filed under the name marine metagenome. RNAcentral's name for it is "bacterial LSU rRNA". It matches the Rfam family "Bacterial large subunit ribosomal RNA", at positions 1376 to 2499 of the family's 2925-position model. The record is from RNAcentral.